Lupinus albus (white lupine) is the source of this 345-nucleotide non-coding RNA. The record is from the annotation of a GenBank genome assembly. Lineage: Eukaryota; Viridiplantae; Streptophyta; Magnoliopsida; Fabales; Fabaceae.
CUUUCUAUUCUUAUUAUAAAUCAUCUUCUUCUAACCGUCUUUUUCUCUCUCCAUUUUUAUUAUGCAUCCUCCUCUCCCAAUCUUAAGUUUUCUUAAUAUUGACCAUAAGCAUAGCAGGAGAAGACAUACUUGAUGAAGUUGAACAGUUUAGCAAGCAAGUUUUGAAGGAAAGGUUACAGAACACAAUUAGAGUGUAAGACUCUAUUUUUGAUAAACACAUUAAUUAAGAUUAAACAAUUACCUCAACCGAAUAUAUUCAACUAACCGAAUAUAUUCAACUGUAAAUAUAUUCGAUUAAGAAUGAACAAUUUACUACAUUAGAUAUUUAUUACAUAAAAACUAUAU